This 482-nucleotide ribosomal RNA is filed under the name uncultured bacterium. Its description in RNAcentral is "partial 16S ribosomal RNA". It matches the Rfam family "Bacterial small subunit ribosomal RNA", at positions 28 to 507 of the family's 1533-position model. The record is from RNAcentral.
GUUGAACGCUGGCGGCAUGCCUUACACAUGCAAGUCGAGCGGUAACGGGACUUCGGGUGUUGUCGGGUGGUGGCCGGGGGCGUAAUACAACGACACGUACCAGCUCCCUGGGGGAAAGGGAGCACAUCGGUAGACCAUACCUAAUACCGUCUAAGAUUUUGAACCGGGGGGCUCAAAGCUUAGCGAGGAUCGUGCGGCCGCUGGUAGAUUAGGUAGUUGGUCGGAUAAAAGCUUACCAAGCCGACGAUUUGUAGCUGAUCUGAGAGGAUGAUCCGCCACACUGGGACUGAGACACGGCCCAGACUCCUACGGGAGGCAGCAGUGGGGAAUUUUGGACAAUGGGCGCAAGCCUGAUCCAGCCAUGCCGCGUGCAGGAUGAAGGCCUUCGGGUUGUAAACUGCUUUUGUACGGAACGAAAAGCCUUCUUUGAAUACAGGAGGGUCAUGACGGUACCGUAAGAAUAAGCACCGGCUAACUACGUG